Molecule: ribosomal RNA, 504 nt
Filed under: uncultured bacterium
Lineage: Bacteria
Description: partial 16S ribosomal RNA
Rfam family: Bacterial small subunit ribosomal RNA
Source: RNAcentral
GAUGAACGCUAGCGACAGGCUUAACACAUGCAAGUCGAGGGGCAUCACGGGAGUAGCAAUACAACUGGUGGCGACCGGCGCACGGGUGAGUAACGCGUAUGCAACCUACCUAUCAGGGGGGAAUAACCCGGCGAAAGUCGGACUAAUACCGCAUAAAACAGGGGCACCGCAUGGUGAUAUUUGUUAAAGAAAUUCGCUGAUAGAUGGGCAUGCGUUCCAUUAGGUAGUUGGUGAGGUAACGGCUCACCAAGCCGACGAUGGAUAGGGGAACUGAGAGGUUGGUCCCCCAAACUGGUACUGAGACACGGACCAGACUCCUACGGGAGGCAGCAGUGAGGAAUAUUGGUCAAUGGGCGGGAGCCUGAACCAGCCAAGUCGCGUGAAGGAAGAAGGAUCUAUGGUUCGUAAACUUCUUUUGCAGGGGAAUAAAGUGCAGGACGUGUCCUGUUUUGUAUGUACCCUGAGAAUAAGGAUCGGCUAACUCCGUGCCAGCAGCCGCCGUAA